UACGGGAGGCAGCAGUGGGGAAUAUUGCACAAUGGGCGCAAGCCUGAUGCAGCUAUGCCGCGUGUAUGAAGAAGGCCUUAGGGUUGUAAAGUACUUUCAUCGGGGAGGAAAAAACAAAACUAAUAAUUUUAUUUCUUGACGUUACCCGAAAAACGAAAGCACCGGCUAACUCCGUGCCAGCAGCCGCGGUAAUACGGAGGGUGCUAGCGUUAAUCAGAAUUACUGGGCGUAAAGAGCACGUAGGUGGUUUUUUUAAAGUUCAGAUGUGAAAUCCCUGGGCUUAACCUAGGAACUGCAUUUUGAAACUGAAAUACUAGAGUAUCGUAGAGGGAGGUAGAAUUCUAGGUGUAGCGGUGAAAUGCGUAGAUAUCUGGAGGAAUACCUGUGGCGAAAGCGGCCUCCUAAACGAAUACUGACACUGAGGUGCGAAAGCGUGGGGAGCAAACAGGGAUUAGAUACC
Molecule: ribosomal RNA, 460 nt
Filed under: uncultured bacterium
Lineage: Bacteria
Description: bacterial SSU rRNA
Rfam family: Bacterial small subunit ribosomal RNA
Source: RNAcentral